ACAAUGGGCGCGGCGCCCGAGCCCCUGACAGCGCCAUAAAUUGGCCGUGCAAAGCUGAGCGCUUGGUGGUCCCCGGGAGGAAAGAGCCGCCGCCGGCAGCGCGAAAAGACGAGUCCGGGAGCCCGCCAGGGAGCCAGUGGUGUUUUUUCCAGAUCACCUUGUUGGAACUUAGAGUAGCAGAGGUCAGACGAGAAGGACAAUAGCGGGGUCCAAGGGUGAACUCCGGCGGGGGGGCGCUGAACCCGGGCUCCCAGGUCGAGCAGAAUGAAUGGGGUGGGCGCUGAAGUCGGGGGGCCCACAGGGGCCCCGGAGUCCGAAGGUCGCGGGCCGGCCUGGCCCAGAAAGCCCCCUUCCCCCCUCCAUCCCAGAGAAAGGAAUGGCCCACACUGAAGAAGACGUUUCUGCUGCUCACAAAGGGCUUUCUUUUUUUUCCUUUUUGGUUUUUUUCUUUCUUUUUUGAAAGAUAUUUUAGCACAGAUCUUACCAGAUGAGGACAAGAUAAGAAAAUCACUAGAUGUGGGCUCUUUUUUUUUUUUUUCACGGAAGAUAUACAUAUAAUGCAAAGUACCUUUUGAAGUGGUUUUUUUUUAAUCAAAAGUUUUCUAAGAAAAAGAAAAUAACUUCUGUUCAAUCUCAGAGAAAUAAAUGGCAUAAGGAUGCUCUUUCUGGUUUUUAUUUAGCGUCAGUAUGGGUUUUUUUCUUUUUAAUCUCUCCAAGGAACAGAUAGAGAAAAAACAGAAGGAUGGGGAAGCUUAUAUUAGGAUUAAGUGAGCUUUUAACUUGAAAACAUGAAUUUAAAAAAAAAAAUGUUUGCCAAACUAACAUCAACAAAUGUGGCCAGAUAUCUGGUUUUAAUGGGAUGAUUCAGGAGUUUCGGUCUUUUGUGGGCCUUGGGCUGCCAAAAUCCUGCACCAAUCAUGACAUCCCCAAACUCAAAAAUUUCAAUUAAACAAACCCACGAUUGCUAGACAGGGUACCCUAACUAUUUACGUCUGAAGUUGUGUUUGCACGCGCUGUGCUUGUCGAGGUUUCCCUCUUUUUCUUCCUUCUUUUUGAAGAUGAGACUAUGACCCUUUGGGAGACCAAGGGUCAGUUGAGGACCCAGCAGGCAAUGACCUGUACUUUAACUGUAUCCUGAGUGAGAAGGCAUCUGGCCCAGCACUUCGUGGCCCCACCGUCCCCCCCCUCCAACCCUGCCUGCCACAGCCCCCAUCUUCCUUCUUUAAAAGUCUAACUCACAUCCCAGAAGGGAUUGUGCAAGGCCCAAGCUAUGCUGCUAGAUAGAUAGAUAGAUAGAUAGAUAGAUAGAUAGAUAGAUGAUAGAUAAAAUAAUGAGUGUGCAAAAACUGCAAUCCCAAGUCUCCCUUGAGCCAGGACCCAUGGGUUGCUGCUGCCCCAGGGCAGGGUGAGGGAGGCCCAGUGUCAGAGCCUCCCCUGCACACAGCUGCAGGCACCCCUCUCAGAGACUAGAAAUGGAGAGGAGAAGCAGGAGUGUUAUCUGAGCCACCUGCCCCGCCCCCAACCCCCCACCCCGCACCCCAGAAUCCAGGAAGCCCACUGGGAACAGCAUCUCUCAGCCUCCCUGCCUCCAUGAGUCGAGAGGGGGUGUGGCCACCCCAAACUGGAGGUGGUGGGUAGAAAGGCAGAGAGGAGAUGGGGUGACAGCAAGAGAGAAGGUAGUUACACUUUUGUAUAAAAGCCACCUUUGGUUCGAUUGACUGAUACUCCGCUUUAUUAUUCUCUGAAACCUAAAGCCUAAACUUGCCUAAAAGGGGGUGAGUUUUUCUUCUUACCUAAUUUUUCCUGAUAUAGGAGGAGCACUGUGGAAGAAGGAGAAAGGAAGGGUAGGUCCGAGUAGCCUCUCCAGGAAGCACUGUGACCCGACAUUCUUCAUACAGAACCACAGAAUUAGAUAAAUAUGUAUUGAAGUGUUAUUCCUGAAAGUUUGAAAAGGAAAACUUACUUCUAAGGUAAAUCGGAUUGAGUUUCCCUCUUAAUCGGAUUACCCUGGAAACCAUGGCUUGCUUCCUGAGGGUGGCUAAUAAUUGAUAACUUCUUGGGGCAGAGAGUUACUGAAAAACCAUUUGGAGGCAAAAACCAAAAUGUAUGUUCUAAAUUAGGGGCCUAAAUUAAGUUGGACAACAAUUUUGUUUACAUUCUUCAGGUGCUUUCCAAAGAUGCCUUUUAAAAUCACAUUUUCUCAUAAUUUAUCUAGAAAGAGAAGCCAGAAGCAUUAUCUUUCCAACUGUGGAGAAACUAGUCCCAAACAGUAUUCCAAAUAAGACAAACACAAAUUUUCUUUGAAAUAGACAGCGGGCUCUGGGGGAAUGGGAGAUGGUCAUUUCUAAGUUACAGCCCGCUGUUCUUUAUGAAUACAAUACUGAUUCUCAGAAGCACACCCAAGUGAAGAAUCCCCUACCUGUUCCCAGAAUCUUGUGUUGAAAACAGUACUAAAUCUACACUUUAGCAGGACAUUGCAAAGAGUUCUAUUCCAUGAGACCUGAAGCUGAAAAAUCUUUGUCCACUAACGGUGUGCUGUUUUUGAAACUUUUAUGGUGUUGCUCUUACCUGGAGUGGUGAAAAAAAAAAGGUUGAAUGGAAAAUAAACCGGAGGGGAUAAGCUGAACUUCUGGAUUCUUCAACGAUUCCAUUCGGUUGUUGCAUGGAAAAAUCUUGAAUGAUUUCUCCAUUUCCCACCUACCUCCAGGUUCCUGAAAUAAUACAUGUAAAAAGAGAAAGACCAAAUGGACUAAGAGAGAUUAUUAUUCCAACCCUGUAUUAUAAGCAUGUCACGUGUUCGUAAAGAAUUGUUCAUCUGGUGAAGGAAUAAUAAAACGUGACACGUGGAAGAAAGGAAACACAGCCAAGAGGCCCUGUUGCUGAGUGUUCUGAACAACAGACAACCUCUAAGGAUCCUCGCCUAUAAUCCUGGCUCUGCCUUCAAUUCACAGUAUGCCUUUGG
RNAcentral lists this long non-coding RNA (2962 nucleotides) under Lynx pardinus (Iberian lynx). Lineage: Eukaryota; Metazoa; Chordata; Mammalia; Carnivora; Felidae. The record is from RNAcentral.